UCUGUUGUGGCACCAAGGAUGUAGAACACCCGAGAUCUUCCUUUUCAUUGGGCAGUGAAAACAUUUAUUGCAGCAGGCUUUGAGGGUGGCUUUUAAUUUGAUCACAUUGUACUUUAUUGGGGCUGCAUUGAAAGGUGGGUGCAGAAAUAAAUGCUAAUUCUGCUUUUGUACAAUAGGUUAAUUUCCAAACACACACACAGAGAGACACUAUCCACCUUCAAAAGUAUCAGUAUUCAAGGACACAUUCCAGCCUGGAAAAAUGUGUGAAGCCAUUGGUGUAGAUGUAGAAAAGAUAGUAUCUUCAGUUACAGUAGAUCCACAGACAUCUGUUCCCCCCUGGAUUUUGAAAUAAGAGACAAGCACUCUUGAUAAACGACUGCCAGAACACUUUGAAACAAAGAACACCAGCCCUCGAUGCCAAAGGAAAUGAUGGAGAGAGUAAAUCAAAACAGGCACUGAGAGUCUCCGUUCUCUUAGUGUGGAGAGCUGAGGGUAAAAGCCACAAUGGAUUCCAUCUAGCCACCGUCAACAGCCUCUCCUCAAAACAUGUGCUUAGAGGAGUCUUUGUCAACCUGGCACAACUCUGAGGCUUCAGACUGCAGCUGCCGCCAGCCCCAGCCUGCACGCGACACAGCCUGAUUUACCACUCCAGGGCUCUAGCACUUUGUUUCAAUCUGUUGCAUGUGGAGUUGCAGUUUGACACUGAGCUGGUCUGAUAAUAGAAGCAGGAGACACAGUCUGCUCCGUGCUGGAUCCAAAGCUAUGACUCGGGGGCUUGCCUGGAAUCCGAAUGGAGAAACAAAAUGUUGUGGGGUUCAUGCUGUGAGCCCCCCUCCCCUGUCGUCAAGUUGUAUAAUAUAUGUGUAAAGAAAGCCAUUCAUGCGAAAGACACCACAGUCUCCUCUAACCCUCAUUCCAAGGAAACUGA
Molecule: non-coding RNA, 928 nt
Organism: Podarcis muralis (Common wall lizard)
Lineage: Eukaryota; Metazoa; Chordata; Lepidosauria; Squamata; Lacertidae
Source: RefSeq, a predicted model, not a curated record